Molecule: ribosomal RNA, 253 nt
Filed under: uncultured bacterium
Lineage: Bacteria
Description: partial 16S ribosomal RNA
Rfam family: Bacterial small subunit ribosomal RNA
Source: RNAcentral
UACAGAGGUCGCAAGCGUUGUUCGGAUUCAUUGGGCGUAAAGGGUGUGUAGGUGGCUCCGUAAGUCGGGUGUGAAAUUUCGGAGCUUAACUCCGAAACUGCAUUCGAUACUGCGGUGCUUGAGGACUGGAGAGGAGACUGGAAUUCAUGGUGUAGCAGUGAAAUGCGUAGAGAUCGUAAGGAAGACCAGUGGCGAAGGCGGGUCUCUGGACAGUUACUGACACUGAGGCACGAAGGCGAGGGGAGCAAACGGG